GACGAGGGAUCCUAGCGUUGUUCGGAAUCAUUGGGCGUAAAGCGGGUGUAGGUGGCUUUGUAAGUCAGGUGUGAAAGCCCAGGGCUCAACCCUGGAAGUGCAUUUGAUACUGCGAAGCUUGAGUGCUGGAGAGGUAAGUAGAAUUCCUGGUGUAGUGGUGAAAUUCGUAGAUAUUGGGUGGAACACCGGUGGCGAAAGCGGCCCCUGGCCCGGUCCGUGACGCUGAGGCGCGAAGCGUGGGGAGCAAACAGG
This 252-nucleotide ribosomal RNA is filed under the name uncultured bacterium. Its description in RNAcentral is "partial 16S ribosomal RNA". It matches the Rfam family "Bacterial small subunit ribosomal RNA", at positions 524 to 776 of the family's 1533-position model. The record is from RNAcentral.